CACUCACGACAUGGGUGAGAUUGAAAUUGAAGAACAAAAAGAAAGCAGAAAGAUGAUAAACAUAUCGACACAAUCCCAAUUUCGAACUUGUGCCUUGCUUGGUUCUGUUUCGUUAUUCGACCUCCUCCUUCUUAAGAGGUGUAUU
RNAcentral lists this non-coding RNA (145 nucleotides) under uncultured eukaryote. The record is from RNAcentral.